RNAcentral lists this ribosomal RNA (555 nucleotides) under uncultured bacterium. Its description in RNAcentral is "partial 16S ribosomal RNA". It matches the Rfam family "Bacterial small subunit ribosomal RNA", at positions 355 to 899 of the family's 1533-position model. The record is from RNAcentral.
UGGGGAAUUUUGGACAAUGGGCGCAAGCCUGAUCCAGCCAUGCCGCGUGCGGGAAGAAGGCCUUCGGGUUGUAAACCGCUUUUGUCAGGGAAGAAAUCUUCUGAGUUAAUACCUCGGGAGGAUGACGGUACCUGAAGAAUAAGCACCGGCUAACUACGUGCCAGCAGCCGCGGUAAUACGUAGGGUGCAAGCGUUAAUCGGAAUUACUGGGCGUAAAGCGUGCGCAGGCGGUUUUGUAAGACAGAGGUGAAAUCCCCGGGCUCAACCUGGGAACUGCCUUUGUGACUGCAAGGCUUGAGUGCGGCAGAGGGGGGAUGGAAUUCCGCGUGUAGCAGUGAAAUGCGUAGAUAUGCGGAGGAACACCGAUGGCGAAGGCCAAUCCCCUGGGCCUGCACUGACGCUCAUGCACGAAAGCGUGGGGAGCAAACAGGAUUAGAUACCCUGGUAGUCCACGCCCUAAACGAUGUCAACUGGUUGUUGGGGAAGGUUCCUUCUCGGUAACGUAGCUAACGCGUGAAGUUUGACCGCCUGGGGAGUACGGCCGCAAGGUUGAAA